UGGAGACAUCAUGGAAAUGACUUUUGGAGGGCGAUAUGUGAUAUUUAUGAUGUCCCUCUUCUCAAUAUACACGGGCCUGGUCUAUAAUGAGUUCUUCUCUGUGCCGUUUGAGUUGUUUGGAAAAUCAGCAUAUGGGUGUCGUGAUCCUUCUUGUAGGGAUUCUACCACUGCAGGCUUAAUCAAAGUGCGUGACACUUAUCCAUUUGGUGUCGAUCCAGCAUGGCAUGGUUCACGUAGUGAGCUGCCGUACCUCAAUUCAUUGAAGAUGAAAAUGUCUAUCCUUAUUGGGGUGGCCCAGAUGAACCUUGGGAUAAUUUUGAGCUUUUUCAAUGCUCUGUUCUUUCGCAAUGGUGUGAACAUUUGGUGUCAAUUUAUUCCCCAAAUGAUAUUUUUGAAUGCUCUGUUUGGAUAUCUGUCCGUCCUUAUCAUUGUGAAGUGGUGCA
This 443-nucleotide unclassified non-coding RNA is filed under the name Hevea brasiliensis (rubber tree). The record is from RNAcentral. Lineage: Eukaryota; Viridiplantae; Streptophyta; Magnoliopsida; Malpighiales; Euphorbiaceae.